Molecule: long non-coding RNA, 436 nt
Filed under: Daucus carota (carrot)
Lineage: Eukaryota; Viridiplantae; Streptophyta; Magnoliopsida; Apiales; Apiaceae
Description: long non-coding RNA (DCAR_LNC004865)
Source: RNAcentral
AACCUAUAGGGGUUAAUGUGGUCAACAAGUUUGUCACAUGGUCUAGUUUUGAGGAUAGUGAGAUUGAGUCUCUUCUCAACGAGGAUUUCAAAGUCAACAACGAGAAGAAUAGAGAAUAUCACGAGUCUUUGAGAGAGUUGACCUCGGAGGAGAUGUUAGGAGAAUUGAACGACAUUUGUUCAAAAUGGGAAACUCCACCCGAGAUGGUUAGUGUUGACCCUAGGCCCGAUUUUGAGAGUCAUGUAGGUGAACCACCGACAUUUGACUCAUUGUUCCAUUAUUCACAUAGCGCCUUAGGAAGAGAUGACACCGUUUCUUACAUCGUUCCUAGUGAUUUAUCCUAUGAUCGUGUUGACCCUAGGCCCGAUUUAGAGAGUCAUGUAGGUGAAUUACCGACAUUUGACUCGUUGUUCCAUCAUUCGCAUAGCGCCUUAGG